UCACCUUUUGGCGCAUUGCCAAAAGUGCGUGAGAAGCCGCAGUUCGUUGUGCUGAAGCAUGCUUCCUUGUGGGGCGGGAGCAACGAAUAUGGCGCCGCCCUCCUAGUUUUUUAACGUGUUCUCCGCAAUUCUAGCCAAUAU
Non-coding RNA from Caenorhabditis elegans, 141 nucleotides. NCBI's taxonomy places the organism in Eukaryota, Metazoa, Nematoda, Chromadorea, Rhabditida, Rhabditidae. The record is from Ensembl.